CCUACGGGAGGCAGCAGUAAGGAAUAUUGGUCAAUGGACGAAAGUCUGAACCAGCCAUGCCGCGUGGAGGAUGAAGGUCCUCUGGAUUGUAAACUUCUUUUAUCUGGGAAGAAAAAAGGGAAUUCUUUCCCGUCUGACGGUACCAGAUGAAUAAGCACCGGCUAACUCCGUGCCAGCAGCCGCGGUAAUACGGAGGGUGCAAGCGUUAUCCGGAUUUACUGGGUUUAAAGGGUGCGUAGGCGGAUUGCCAAGUCCGUGGUGAAAUCUCCGGGCUUAACUCGGAAACUGCCAUGGAUACUGGUAAUCUUGAAUAUCGUGGAGGUAAGCGGAAUAUGUCAUGUAGCGGUGAAAUGCUUAGAUAUGACAUAGAACACCAAUUGCGAAGGCAGCUUACUACGCGGUAAUUGACGCUGAUGCACGAAAGCGUGGGGAUCAAACAG
RNAcentral lists this ribosomal RNA (440 nucleotides) under uncultured bacterium. RNAcentral's name for it is "bacterial SSU rRNA". It matches the Rfam family "Bacterial small subunit ribosomal RNA", at positions 338 to 775 of the family's 1533-position model. The record is from RNAcentral.